AAAAAUCAGCACAUCCAACCUUGGUAAUAUGUUAUAACAACACACACUGUAACAUUAAUUGCAAUGCAACCUGAUACACCGAGUAGUUAUAUUCUUUCAUGCAUGUUCGUGCAACGAAAACGAGUUUAUAAUUAUGCAAUAAAUGUCAAUUGUUAUGUUGACCGGGACCACUCGAACAGUCAUAUACGUUAUAAAUACAUUUU
This 203-nucleotide long non-coding RNA is filed under the name Mytilus galloprovincialis (Mediterranean mussel). Lineage: Eukaryota; Metazoa; Mollusca; Bivalvia; Mytilida; Mytilidae. The record is from RNAcentral.